This 119-nucleotide ribosomal RNA is filed under the name Helianthus annuus (common sunflower). The record is from RNAcentral. Lineage: Eukaryota; Viridiplantae; Streptophyta; Magnoliopsida; Asterales; Asteraceae.
GGUUGCGAUCAUACCAGCACUAAUGCACCGGAUCCUAUCAGAACUCCGAAGUUAAGCGUGCUUGGGCGAGAGUAGUACUAGGAUGGGUGACCCCCUGGGAAGUCCUCGUGUUGCAACCC